UGGGCAACCUGCCCCUCUCUCUGGGAUAACCCCGGGAAACCGGAGCUAAUACCGGAUACUCCGGCUGGAUCGCAUGGUCCGGCCGGGAAAGGUCCGCCGGAGAGGGAUGGGCCCGCGGCCUAUCAGCUUGUUGGUGAGGUAAUGGCUCACCAAGGCGACGACGGGUAGCCGGCCUGAGAGGGCGAUCGGCCACACAGGGACUGAGACAUGGUCCAGACUCCUACGGGAGCA
Molecule: ribosomal RNA, 231 nt
Filed under: uncultured bacterium
Lineage: Bacteria
Description: partial 16S ribosomal RNA
Rfam family: Bacterial small subunit ribosomal RNA
Source: RNAcentral